AUUGUCGUCGCCGUUGCCUUUUCUGGUUGUCUUCUCCGACGAGGUAAUGGUUCAAACUCCUCGGUUGACUGCAUAUGAGAUACCACCAUGUAGAGUAGAUCACAUGGAAUCAAAUCCCUAUGGUUUGAGGCUUUGAUUCCCUAUCCCCAACAUUUAAUUUCUGUUUUCUUCAACUAGGGUUCUUGUACCAUCUUCUUCGAUUGGACUGGAUGUUUAGGAAUUGGAAAUUUUGGCGUGUGGAUUUUGUCUUAGCAGUUUGAGACGAGGUUUUUGAGUUGGUCAUUUUCACCUUAGG
This 295-nucleotide long non-coding RNA is filed under the name Lathyrus oleraceus (garden pea). Its description in RNAcentral is "Pisum sativum (pea) long non-coding RNA (PSAT_LNC011172)". Lineage: Eukaryota; Viridiplantae; Streptophyta; Magnoliopsida; Fabales; Fabaceae. The record is from RNAcentral.